CCCAUAGCCGAGCAUUGCGCAACGAUGCGCUAGUCCUAAAAGAGACAAUCGCGAAAUAAAUUCAAAAAGUUGAUGUUUUUCAUAACUAGAUGGCUUCUGUCGCUUUGCAGACGACGGGAAAUAUUAUUGUGUUCAAAACAAGUUUGGCUGUUUGUGUUUGCACCUGUUGCUGUUUAGUGUUUACACACUGAGGAAAUGAGCAACUGUUGUCUAUUAUUGUUGAAUAUACGUGAUACCGUUUUACUUAGUUUAUUGCGAAAUGUGAGCUUUCUAUUGUGGUCCUAAAUUAUCUUCAACCUGUCUUUCACCAAUCAGCCGAAUCGUAAAUGAAAUUUAAGAUUCCAGUUCGUCACUUCAUCAGCAACCCUAGUGUUCUUUCUGCCUGAAAGUAAACUCGGAUCCCUCGAUGUGCUUCGAUGAAGAACAGAUGAAGAUGUGACGGUAUGAACUGAAGCUGUCUCGUUCGUGCACAGCAAAGUCUCAUCACAGCCAUUCGCCAGCGCCUGAGGAAAAUGAAACCUGAAACGAAAUUAAACCUACCAGUCCACUGAUCACAUCCCAUCUCCAAAAGGAAGAACUGCAUUGCCACAAGGUUAACGUUCUACGAUAGCCUUGCAAACAACGUAAAACACAAAUAAAAUUAUCGACGUCAUAAAAAUAUUUUAGUAGUACGAAUCAAUAACCGACACAAGUUAAGUUGCGGAACUGUGUACAUUGAAAAACACAUAAUAAGGACAAGUUAAUCCAAAUUGGUGUAGCUGAUUGGUUGUGGCCGAGGCAGAUCAGUUACGGAAUUAUUAUGCAGACUGCUGCAUUCUCUACAUGGCCACCUCCUAAUGCCGACUGGCCAGCUGGUUCCAAGUGAAGAAUAAUAUUGGCUAUGUCUGACUUUAUUUCGUUGUGUUGGCAAACGGCUCAAAUAUUCGGAUCAAAGAUAGGGAAACCGCCAAACCGGAAACAAAUUUACACAGGAUUUACAUAAUUGCUUCGGUGUUGGAAGUGAUUAGAGCAGCGUGGCCACGAUGUAUCGCCGACAAGGAAAUCACGACCAAGAUCACAUAUCUGCUAAACGAUUUGAUUUGGCCCAGUGGUGGGUGAAUUUUUAAUUCAGGAGGACGAGUUGCAGUCUAGUGACAUUGAAUCGAACAAUACGCAUUAUAAAAGAUUGACGUCGACGUAAGAUGCAGAAAAUUCAACUCACCUGAGCCAACACCACGACAUUCAUCAAAAUGGAGGCAGCAGGUAAGAACUUUUUGUAUCUUUUCGCGAAUUGUAAUUUCAAUUGCGAAUUGCCGGCUGAUUACGUGCCCCAAUUCGCAUUAGCAAUCGUUUCAUUAAAUUGAAGUGUUGGUCUUACAUUUUCUUUUAAGCGGCCGUUGCUGUUCUUUUUCACUUCGUGCGAAUAAAUGGCGCAUCUGUUUAUUUCUGUCUGUUAUUUCGCGUCUGCGGCGGCCGGCGGGUGAAAUUAACAUUUUGCCAAUUAUAACGAGGGGAAAAAACGAAGAUUAACGAGAUGCGUAGGUAAUAGAAGAGUUUCAUUCUCGUGUUGAUUUCAUUUCAUUUCGAGCUGCGAUAGGAAAACAAAUUUGAAUAAUUUAUA
Long non-coding RNA from Daphnia pulex (common water flea), 1600 nucleotides. RefSeq lists it as uncharacterized. Lineage: Eukaryota; Metazoa; Arthropoda; Branchiopoda; Diplostraca; Daphniidae. The transcript has 5 exons. The record is from RefSeq and is a predicted model, not a curated record.